GAAAUAACUGUUUCAGUGAAACUAAAAAGAAGUUCCUUAAUAGGUGAAAAUUCCUUUAAUUAAAUAUAAUAGACGAGAAGACCCUAAGAAUUAUACAUUAAAAUUGUAGACUUAUAAAAAUUUUUGUUGGGGCAACAGAUUUGGUUAAAUCAAUAAUUUAAAGAUUUGCACAUUAAAUAUAUUUAAUAAGAAUUUAAUUACCUUAGGGAUAACAGCAUUAUUAAUGUAUUAGAUUGUGACCUCGAUGUUGGACUAGGGACUUUUAAAGUAAGCCAUUUUAAAAGAUUGUUCUGUUCGAACAUAGAAC
Molecule: ribosomal RNA, 307 nt
Filed under: Partula cf. taeniata
Lineage: Eukaryota; Metazoa; Mollusca; Gastropoda; Stylommatophora; Partulidae
Description: partial 16S ribosomal RNA
Source: RNAcentral